Long non-coding RNA from Taeniopygia guttata (zebra finch), 905 nucleotides. RefSeq lists it as uncharacterized. The record is from RefSeq and is a predicted model, not a curated record. Lineage: Eukaryota; Metazoa; Chordata; Aves; Passeriformes; Estrildidae.
GUCUGAUUUUGGCUCCUGCUGGAGUCUCCUGGACCAAGAGAUCCACUGGACUGUCCUCAUACAUCCAUUUUUAUGGGCAGUCUCUGCACAAACCCACCUCUGAACUCCAUCAGCAAACUAUGCUACCAAAUGGAGAAACUGAAAAUAUUGAGAGACCCAUAGGUCCUCUUUGUGCUUCUUUAAGUGCCUGUGCUAACACUGGGAGCUGUAAAAGUGCCUGCCUGCAAUGUCAAAUAUCCACAUGGUGGUAGAAGACAUGUUGUGAGUUUUCUCCUGUUUCUCCUGGGCAUCAUUAUUACCCUUCAUUUCUGUCAGUGGCUUCAUGGAAGAGUGCACUUAGCCUUGGGAUAUGACACACACAGAAGCAGUGGAGCUCCCUGUUUACCCAGGCUGAGACAAGAGGCCAGACCCUGUGCCUGCUGAAUUCACCCUCUAGAAACUGAAGCCAUAAAUGAGAGUGAAAUUGAAGAGGUGAAAUGGAGAAUGCUUCGCUGAAAUCUCACUUGUGACUCUCUCCCUCCUCAGCACUCAUGAAUGGAGUCUGAGCUUAACAUUUCUUUACUCCAAGCCCCAGCUGCCACCAAGAGACCAAGGCAUAAGAGCACUGGGAUUAACCUGUAUCCUUUAAUACUUUAAUACUAUCCUAUUAGCACAGUGCUUAAACAUGCUGGGGAAUUUAAGGAUGAUUCAAAUUGCACACUUCAAGACUUUUGGCACUUGGGAAGAAAAUAAAGUUUUUCACUAAUGGGGCACAUUUCUUGUCCCAGCUGUACCUUUGUGACUUGCACACUCUGGUAAUGUAAUGGAGGGGGCUGCAGAGCCUCCAAGGGAUUUUUAAUUUUAAAAUGGAUGGCAGAUAUCCAUUCACUAAUAAAUCAUCUGCAGCAGUUCUGCAGGAAAGAAAA